AACGAACGCUGGCGGCACGUUUUAAGCAUGCAAGUCGAAUGGCAGUGGGGGCAACCCCAUGAGAAUGGCGAACGGGUGAGUAACACGUAGGUGAUCUGCCUGACGGAUGGGGAUAGCUUGUGGAAACACAGGGUAAUACCGAAUGAGCUGACGAGACUUUGGUUUUGUUAGUAAAGGUGCUACGGCACCGCCGACAGAGGAGCCUGCGGCUGAUUAGCUAGUUGGUGGGGUAAAGGCCUACCAAGGCGACGAUCAGUAGCCGGCCUGAGAGGGUGUACGGCCAAACUGGAACUGAGACACGGUCCAGACUCCUACAGGAGGCAGCAGCUAAGAAUCUUCCGCAAUGGGCGAAAGCCUGACGGAGCGAUGCCGCGUGAUCGAUGAAGGUCGAGAGAUUGUAAAGAUCUUUUCUACAUGAGGAAUAAGUCUGGGAGGGAAUGCCUGGAUGAUGACGUUAGUGUAGGAAUAAGCCCCGGCUAAUUACGUGCCAGCAGCCGCAGUAA
Molecule: ribosomal RNA, 503 nt
Filed under: uncultured bacterium
Lineage: Bacteria
Description: partial 16S ribosomal RNA
Rfam family: Bacterial small subunit ribosomal RNA
Source: RNAcentral